CCUACGGGGGGCAGCAGUGGGGAAUAUUGCGCAAUGGGCGAAAGCCUGACGCAGCGACGCCGCGUGAGGGAUGAAGGUCUUCGGAUCGUAAACCUCUGUCAGCAGGGAAGAACGGUCACUGUGCUAAUCAGCAGUGAAUUGACGGUACCUGCAAAGGAAGCACCGGCUAACUCCGUGCCAGCAGCCGCGGUAAUACGGAGGGGGCGAGCGUUAAUCGGAAUUACUGGGCGUAAAGCGCUCGUAGGCGGUAUGUCAAGUCAAGGGUGAAAUCCCCGCGCUCAACGUGGGAACUGCCUUUGAAACUGGCAAACUGGAGUGUGUGAGAGGAUAGUGGAAUUCCAGGUGUAGGAGUGAAAUCCGUAGAUAUCUGGAGGAACAUCAGUGGCGAAGGCGACUAUCUGGAACAUAACUGACGCUGAGGAGCGAAAGCGUGGGUAGCAAACAGGAUUAGAUACCCCAGUAGUC
RNAcentral lists this ribosomal RNA (465 nucleotides) under uncultured bacterium. RNAcentral's name for it is "partial 16S ribosomal RNA". It matches the Rfam family "Bacterial small subunit ribosomal RNA", at positions 338 to 795 of the family's 1533-position model. The record is from RNAcentral.